RNAcentral lists this ribosomal RNA (253 nucleotides) under uncultured bacterium. RNAcentral describes it as "partial 16S ribosomal RNA". It matches the Rfam family "Bacterial small subunit ribosomal RNA", at positions 524 to 776 of the family's 1533-position model. The record is from RNAcentral.
UACGUAGGGACCAAGCGUUGUUCGGAUUUACUGGGCGUAAAGGGCGCGUAGGCGGCGCGGUAAGUCACUUGUGAAAUCUCUGAGCUUAACUCAGAACGGCCAAGUGAUACUGCAGUGCUAGAGUGUGGAAGGGGCAAUCGGAAUUCUUGGUGUAGCGGUGAAAUGCGUAGAUAUCAAGAGGAACACCUGAGGUGAAGACGGGUUGCUGGGCCAACACUGACGCUGAAACGCGAAAGCUAGGGGAGCAAACGGG